GAUGAACGCUGGCGGCGUGCUUAACACAUGCAAGUCGAACGAAGCACUUUAUUACGAUUUCUUCGGAAUGACGAUUUAGUGACUGAGUGGCGGACGGGUGAGUAACGCGUGGGUAACCUGCCUUAUACAGGGGGAUAACAGUUAGAAAUGACUGCUAAUACCGCAUAAGCGCACAGGAUUGCAUGAUCUGGUGUGAAAAACUCCGGUGGUAUAAGAUGGACCCGCGUCUGAUUAGCUAGUUGGCAGGGCAACGGCCUACCAAGGCGACGAUCAGUAGCCGACCUGAGAGGGUGACCGGCCACAUUGGGACUGAGACACGGGCCCAAACUCCUACGGGAGGCAGCAGUGGGGAAUAUUGCACAAUGGGGGAAACCCUGAUGCAGCGACGCCGCGUGAGCGAAGAAGUAUUCGGUAUGUAAAGCUCUAUCAGCAGGGAGAGAAAUGACGGUACCUGACUAAGAAGCACCGGCUAAAUCGUGCCAGCA
This 485-nucleotide ribosomal RNA is filed under the name uncultured bacterium. Its description in RNAcentral is "bacterial SSU rRNA". It matches the Rfam family "Bacterial small subunit ribosomal RNA", at positions 28 to 513 of the family's 1533-position model. The record is from RNAcentral.